CUGGCUCAGGAUUAACGCUGGCGGCGUGCCUAAUACAUGCAAGUCGGAUGGUAGCAAUACCAUGGCGAACGGGUGAGUAACACGUAGGUAACCUGUCUAUAAGACGAGGAUAACCAUUGGAAACGAUGGAUAAUACUGGAUAGGACAUUUGGAGGCAUCUUUGAAUGUUUAAAGAUUUAUCGCUUAAUGAGGGGCCUGCGGCGCAUUAGCUAGUUGGUAAGGUAACGGCUUACCAAGGCGAUGAUGCGUAGCCGGACUGAGAGGUUGAACGGCCACAAUGGAACUGAGAACGGUCCAUACUCCUACGGGAGGCAGCAGUAGGGAAUUUUCGGCAAUGGACGGAAGUCUGACCGAGCAACGCCGCGUGAACGAAGAAGUAUUUCGGUAUGUAAAGUUCUUUUAUUAGGGACGAAAAACAAAUUGACGGUACCUAAUGAAUAAGCUCCGGCUAACUACGUGCCAGCAGCUGC
This 470-nucleotide ribosomal RNA is filed under the name uncultured bacterium. RNAcentral's name for it is "bacterial SSU rRNA". It matches the Rfam family "Bacterial small subunit ribosomal RNA", at positions 19 to 518 of the family's 1533-position model. The record is from RNAcentral.